GAUUAAGUCACUUAGUACUACGGUCUAGUUGUGUUAUUAUUCACUUGUAAGUGAGAGCCUUAUUAAGUUCGACACUCGUCAAAGGCGAAUAUGAACCACAUUAUUGCUAGCCCAUUGUGAGGCUUAGCCCACCCCACCCCCUUAAUAUAGAUAUCGUUUGUUAAAGAAAAAGAAUGAAAGUAAGUAAUAUGUUUUGAUACAAGUGACAGUUUAUACUACAUUCGUCUAAAUUAAUGAGAAAUGAGAUCCAAAUUAGGGUGUAGUCUAUAAACUGCAAAAGAGAGAACAUAUUGUUCUAACUAACUUGACUCAUAUAUGUACGUUGUUGUGAAAAUAAGUAAUAUGUUGGCAAAAAAGAAUGUGGAUAAAGGUAGGGUGUGCAAUUUUUAAAAUUUUAUAAAUUACAAGAUAGAAGUAUGAUUGGAGCAUCUCCAAUAGUUUUUCUUAGCCCUUAAUUUUGUUGUCAUAAACUUAAUACAUGUCAAUCAAUAAUAUAAACUAUAGAAAAGCCACACAAAAAAUAAGUAUAAAAAAAAAUUAAUCUCUUCUUAAAAUGCUCUUAGGAAAAAGUUGAGCGAGCAACAAGGAAUUAAGCAGAUAUUAAAUAAACAAUAUUUUUUGGGGUCUUUGGUUAUCUCUUAUAUAUAAAGCCAGAGCCUCGAUUUGGGGUCAUGGCUUCGACAAAAAUAAUUGGACCAAAUUGUCCCUCAGCCAAAAAAAUUCAAAACCUGACCAAAAUAAUAUAUCAAAUCAUGUAAGGGUAAGUUGGUAAUCAUAAAAUAAAAUAUAAAUAUAAAUGGGGAGAGAGAAAAGAAAAAAAAAUGAAAGAGAAGAGAGAAAAAAAAUAAACAAAUGACAAAGUUGAUGGUGCCCAAGUGAUGGGGAAGAAAAAUAUAAUAAAAAAAUAAGAAAAAUCAUGAAUGUUGUGUUCAAAACAUCUUAAGAGCCGCGUAGCGCUGGUGAUAAAAAAAA
This 972-nucleotide long non-coding RNA is filed under the name Malus domestica (apple). RNAcentral describes it as "long non-coding RNA (MDOM_LNC014323)". Lineage: Eukaryota; Viridiplantae; Streptophyta; Magnoliopsida; Rosales; Rosaceae. The record is from RNAcentral.